AUGAAACUGUUGUCACAAGACCACAAAAAGUACAUCAUAUCAGAAACCAGUCUUGGCGGUCUAACCCAGAUGCAUGAAGUGACUCUACGGCGCAUAAUGUUGGUUAGACUAGCCAAGAGCAUAGAUAUGGACACGCAAUCCAUUACCAUCGGUAAAAUGCCAAUUCCUAUAACAAAAGAGGACGUGCAAGGUAUAUUUGGCAUUCCGAUAGAAGGGGAGGAUAUAGAACUACAUCUGGAAAUGCAAACCGACACAGGAUUGUUUACCGCCUAUGCAAACAAUGGGCAAAUUUUGAUUUCUGACCUUGAAACGGUGAUCCGAGCUUCCAAAGCCCCAGACGGCGAUUUCCUGAGACGGUUCAUUCUGUACGCAAUUGGUACUGUUCUAGCACCAAUAGCACAACAUUAUGUGGACUCGAAAUUUCUCAACCUUGUUACAGAUCUUGAAAACCUUCGGAAAUUUAACUGGGGAUGUUUCACACUUAAUCACUUCUUCAAGUCCGUUCACAAGUUUAGAAAUCGAGAUCACGUAAAUCUACAAGGAAAUCUAAUUCUGCUCCAGUAUUGGUACUGGGAGCACGUGCGUAGUGGCCGAUUAAUGUAUGCUUCUAGACCCCCUCCAUUGAUCGCACGA
Molecule: ribosomal RNA, 633 nt
Filed under: Triticum aestivum (bread wheat)
Lineage: Eukaryota; Viridiplantae; Streptophyta; Magnoliopsida; Poales; Poaceae
Description: partial small subunit ribosomal RNA
Source: RNAcentral